Non-coding RNA from Allomyces macrogynus ATCC 38327, 92 nucleotides. NCBI's taxonomy places the organism in Eukaryota, Fungi, Blastocladiomycota, Blastocladiomycetes, Blastocladiales, Blastocladiaceae. The record is from the annotation of a GenBank genome assembly.
GUGAAAGUGGGCCGAACCGGUCUAAGGCCCCUGGUUUUUAGGCCCCAGUCUCCUUCGGGAGGCCGCGGGUUCGAAACCCCGUUCCCUUCACA